GAUGAACGCUAGCGGCAGGCUUAACACAUGCAAGUCGAGGGGUAACAUUUUAGCUUGCUAAAGAUGACGACCGGCGAACGGGUGCGUAACGCGUAUAGAAUCUACCUCUUACUAAGGGAUAGCCCAGAGAAAUUUGGAUUAAUAUCUUAUAGUAUGUUAACUUGGCAUCAAGACAACAUUAAAGGUUACAGUAAGAGAUGACUAUGCGUCCUAUUAGCUAGAUGGUGUGGUAACGGCACACCAUGGCGACGAUAGGUAGGGGCCCUGAGAGGGGGAUCCCCCACACUGGUACUGAGACACGGACCAG
Molecule: ribosomal RNA, 307 nt
Filed under: uncultured Olleya sp.
Lineage: Bacteria; Pseudomonadati; Bacteroidota; Flavobacteriia; Flavobacteriales; Flavobacteriaceae
Description: bacterial SSU rRNA
Rfam family: Bacterial small subunit ribosomal RNA
Source: RNAcentral